GUAUCAUACCGUGUCUUUUCUGAAGGAGAUUUGGGAGCUGGAAGAAAAAUGCAUUUCAUGCUUAUUCUGAAAAUUGAGCAUUGUGGGGGACCAGAAUGGCUACAUUGCUUCUUCGCACCUUCUGCGAGGCAUAAAAGAUGGGAACUUUCCAAUUCCUAUUUGACUGAAAGAUCAUUCCAAGCCUUCCUGUGAUGUGGCACAAGGCAGGUCUCUUCAUUGAUAACAUAGACGUUUGCAGCUGCCAGUUUACAUAAUUUGGCAACCAACAAUUAUACUAUUGUGGUAUACACUCAGGGGCAUCCUCAACAGACCAAGAUUUUGUCAAAAUGACAAAAUGUGCAUAAUGAUGUUAUUACUCAAGUUCCAUCUCUUAAGUACAACACUGCAGGAUAUGUAUCUUUCCUCAUUCCUCACCCCCACCCUGUUUUCUUUCUUCAGCAUCUCAUCAAGAUAAAAUAAAAAUCUUAAUUUAAAGCAA
Molecule: long non-coding RNA, 478 nt
Organism: Candoia aspera
Lineage: Eukaryota; Metazoa; Chordata; Lepidosauria; Squamata; Candoiidae
Exons: 3
Source: RefSeq, a predicted model, not a curated record